This 218-nucleotide ribosomal RNA is filed under the name Campeiostachys nutans. RNAcentral describes it as "Elymus nutans partial small subunit ribosomal RNA". The stretch from base 48 to 218 matches the Rfam family "Eukaryotic small subunit ribosomal RNA", at positions 692 to 864 of the family's 1831-position model. Lineage: Eukaryota; Viridiplantae; Streptophyta; Magnoliopsida; Poales; Poaceae. The record is from RNAcentral.
GGGUUCAUCCGUUGGUCGGGCUUUUUUGGUCUGUACUGGCGUGAUGGAUUCCUACCUUCUGAAUAACCAGCAUGUCAUUAAUUUGGUGUUGCGGGGAAUUUGGACUGUUACUUUGAAAAAAUUAGAGUGUUUAAAGCAAGCUAACGCUUGAAUACAUUAGCAUGGAAUAAUGAAAUAGGACGUUCGAUCCUAUUUUGUUGGUUUCUAGGAUUGACGUA